This 253-nucleotide ribosomal RNA is filed under the name uncultured bacterium. RNAcentral describes it as "partial 16S ribosomal RNA". It matches the Rfam family "Bacterial small subunit ribosomal RNA", at positions 524 to 776 of the family's 1533-position model. The record is from RNAcentral.
UACGUAGGGGGCAAGCGUUGUCCGGAUUUAUUGGGCGUAAAGAGCGUGUAGGCGGUCGUAUAGGUCAGCUGUGAAAACUCGAGGCUCAACCUCGAGACGUCGGUUGAAACCGUACGGCUAGAGUCCGGAAGAGGAGAGUGGAAUUCCCGGUGUAGCGGUGAAAUGCGCAGAUAUCGGGAAGAACACCAGUGGCGAAGGCGGCUCUCUGGGACGGUACUGACGCUGAGACGCGAAAGCGUGGGGAGCGAACAGG